RNAcentral lists this unclassified non-coding RNA (331 nucleotides) under soil metagenome. RNAcentral's name for it is "partial contains 5.8S ribosomal RNA, internal transcribed spacer 2, and large subunit ribosomal RNA". The stretch from base 1 to 120 matches the Rfam family "5.8S ribosomal RNA", at positions 35 to 154 of the family's 154-position model. The record is from RNAcentral.
GAUGAAGAACGCAGCGAAAUGCGAUAAGUAAUGUGAAUUGCAGAAUUCAGUGAAUCAUCGAAUCUUUGAACGCACAUUGCGCCCCCUGGUAUUCCGGGGGGCAUGCCUGUUCGAGCGUCAUUUCACCACUCAAGCCUCGCUUGGUAUUGGGCAUCGCGGUCCGCCGCGCGCCUCAAAUCGACCGGCUGGGUCUUCUGUCCCCUAAGCGUUGUGGAAACUAUUCGCUAAAGGGUGUUCGGGGGGCUACGCCGUAAAACAACCCCAUUUCUAAGGUUGACCUCGGAUCAGGUAGGGAUACCCGCUGAACUUAAGCAUAUCAAUAAGCGGAGGA